AAAAAAAAAAAUCAAAACGCACGUUUUGAUUGAAGACCGUAUUUGAAAAUUCGUUUCUGCCAUUCGAAUUGAUGCCGCGAAACCCCUGCUCAAUCGCGACCCGCGUCUCCUUUCACAACCCAUCACCUCCCGGCGACGCCGUCUCUCUCAUCAGUGCCACCGAGCGGCACUCCUCCGUGUGCCCAGUGCCUCCACUGUCCCGCGAGCUCGUUUGAACGGAGCAAAGAAUAUUUGAAUCCCGCGAAACCCCCUUCCUUGCCACGAACCCGCGUCCGUCGGCUUCCUCUUGCCAGCGCCACCUCGCGACGGCUUCCUCUUCCCAGCGCCACCUCGAGACGCUCGUUCGUCUGCCCAGCGCCGCCGCUCCUCGCGAGCUGAUCGAACGGACCAAACCAACGACGGGUAAGAGUGCUCUGUUUCGCCAAAUGGUUUUAAAUUAUCGGAAGACAUUCUUAGCCUUAUUGUGAUGGGGGAAAACGAAGAUGGAAUGCAUCCUUUUGAUAUAAAUAUGCCCUACGAUUCCCCGAGUACUCCAGUAGACUAUAGCCCAUUUUUUGAUUCAUUUGAGCAUAUGCCACCUUAUAUGUCCUACCCUCCGCCGAGUAAUCCAGAUGACUUGAGGCAAGAAGUGCCCCCAACGUCAACUGUGCCAACCGAUACCACAUUUGAACAAAAUCUUGGA
Juglans microcarpa x Juglans regia is the source of this 682-nucleotide long non-coding RNA. RefSeq lists it as uncharacterized. The record is from RefSeq and is a predicted model, not a curated record. The transcript has 3 exons. Lineage: Eukaryota; Viridiplantae; Streptophyta; Magnoliopsida; Fagales; Juglandaceae.